AAGAAAGUGGCAGAGUGGUUUUGUGAUUGGCUUGAAACCAGUUCACGGGGGUUCGAUUCCCUCCUUUCUCG
RNAcentral lists this transfer RNA (71 nucleotides) under Carinotetraodon travancoricus. RNAcentral describes it as "tRNA-Ser". It matches the Rfam family "tRNA". Rfam says of the family: Transfer RNA (tRNA) molecules are approximately 80 nucleotides in length. Their secondary structure includes four short double-helical elements and three loops (D, anti-codon, and T loops). Lineage: Eukaryota; Metazoa; Chordata; Actinopteri; Tetraodontiformes; Tetraodontidae. The record is from RNAcentral.